RNAcentral lists this transfer RNA (65 nucleotides) under Zahniserius cylindricus. RNAcentral describes it as "tRNA-Gly". The record is from RNAcentral. Lineage: Eukaryota; Metazoa; Arthropoda; Insecta; Hemiptera; Cicadellidae.
GUUCAUUUAGUAUAGGUAAGUAUAUUAGGCUUCCAACUUAAAGGUUAAAAAGUAUUAAGUGAAUA